Molecule: ribosomal RNA, 115 nt
Filed under: Escherichia coli 3431
Lineage: Bacteria; Pseudomonadati; Pseudomonadota; Gammaproteobacteria; Enterobacterales; Enterobacteriaceae
Also listed under: 1 other name
Source: RNAcentral
UGCCUGGCAGUUCCCUACUCUCGCAUGGGGAGACCCCACACUACCAUCGGCGCUACGGCGUUUCACUUCUGAGUUCGGCAUGGGGUCAGGUGGGACCACCGCGCUACUGCCGCCA